UUUGAAAAAUUUUCAUAUUUGAGUUCGUUGAGUUUUUAAAGCAUCAUCUCCUUUAAUGUACAGUCCACUUUGUAGUGGGCGACUGGGGGAAAUUCUUGUGAAUGGGCUAUGAAAUAUGAGAGUACUUCACAAAGUUCAUGGAAAGCUAUGCUAUGGACAUGGUGAAAGAGAGAGUCUAUCACAAAUGAGCAAAGGCUUGACUUGUGACCGAACUUGUGGUCUAUCCUGGAGAAUGUUCCAUGUGCUGAUGAGAAGACUAUAUAUUCAGGU
Molecule: long non-coding RNA, 270 nt
Organism: Galeopterus variegatus (Sunda flying lemur)
Lineage: Eukaryota; Metazoa; Chordata; Mammalia; Dermoptera; Cynocephalidae
Exons: 4
Source: RefSeq, a predicted model, not a curated record